CAGUCGCCACGGGAAUACAGAGGGUGCAAGCGUUAAUCGGAAUUACUGGGCGUAAAGCGCGCGUAGGUGGUUCGCCAAGUUGGAUGUGAAAUCCCCGGGCUCAACCUGGGAACUGCAUCCAAAACUGGCAAGCUAGAGUAUGGUAGAGGGUGGUGGAAUUUCCUGUGUAGCGGUGAAAUGCGUAGAUAUAGGAAGGAACACCAGUGGCGAAGGCGACCACCUGGACUGAUACUGACACUGAGGUGCGAAAGCGUGGGGAGCAAACAGGAUUAGAUACCCGCGUAGUCCCUGUCUCUUAUAC
This 301-nucleotide ribosomal RNA is filed under the name uncultured bacterium. Its description in RNAcentral is "partial 16S ribosomal RNA". It matches the Rfam family "Bacterial small subunit ribosomal RNA", at positions 509 to 807 of the family's 1533-position model. The record is from RNAcentral.